AGGGCACCACCAGGAGUGGAGCCUGCGGCUUAAUUUGACCCAACACGGGAAAACUCACCCGGCCCGGACACCGUAAGGAUUGACAGAUUGAGAGCUCUUUCUUGAUUCGGUGGUUGGUGGUGCAUGGCCGUUCUUAGUUGGUGGAGCGAUUUGUCUGGUUUAUUCCGAUAACGAGCGAGACUCUAGCCUACUAAAUAGUGACCGGAUAGCUUGGUCCGGGUCACUUCUUAGAGGGACAAGCGGUGUUCAGCCGCAAUAAGUUGAGCAAUAACAGGUCUGUGAUGCCCUUAGAUGUCCGGGGCUGCACGCGCGCUACACUGGCGGAAUCAACGUGUUUUCAUCCUGCGUCGAGAGAUUGUGGGUAAACCAAUGAAAAUCCGCCGUGAUUGGGAUCGGAAAUUGAAAUUAUUUUCCGUGAACGAGGGAUUCCAAGUAAGUGCGAGUCAUUAACUCGCGUUGAUUACGUCCCUGCCCUUUGUACACACCGCCCGUCGCUACUACCGAUUGAAUGAAUUAGUG
Molecule: ribosomal RNA, 519 nt
Filed under: uncultured eukaryote
Lineage: Eukaryota
Description: bacterial SSU rRNA
Rfam family: Eukaryotic small subunit ribosomal RNA
Source: RNAcentral